GGGGAUGUAGUUCAGUGGGAGAACACUUGUCUGGCAGACAAGAGGUCAGCGGUUCGACUCCGCUCAUCUCCACCA
Molecule: transfer RNA, 75 nt
Filed under: Actinomycetota bacterium
Lineage: Bacteria; Bacillati; Actinomycetota
Description: Actinobacteria bacterium tRNA-Ala
Rfam family: tRNA
About the family: Transfer RNA (tRNA) molecules are approximately 80 nucleotides in length. Their secondary structure includes four short double-helical elements and three loops (D, anti-codon, and T loops). Further hydrogen bonds mediate the characteristic L-shaped molecular structure. tRNAs have two regions of fundamental functional importance: the anti-codon, which is responsible for specific mRNA codon recognition, and the 3' end, to which the tRNAs corresponding amino acid is attached (by aminoacyl-tRNA synthetases). tRNAs cope with the degeneracy of the genetic code in two manners: having more than one tRNA (with a specific anti-codon) for a particular amino acid; and 'wobble' base-pairing, i.e. permitting non-standard base-pairing at the 3rd anti-codon position.
Source: RNAcentral